This 75-nucleotide transfer RNA is filed under the name Patescibacteria group bacterium. Its description in RNAcentral is "tRNA-Arg". It matches the Rfam family "tRNA". From Rfam's summary of the family: Transfer RNA (tRNA) molecules are approximately 80 nucleotides in length. The record is from RNAcentral.
GCCCCCGUGGCUCAAUUGGAUAGAGCGUCGCGCUUCGGACGCGAAGGUUUGAGGGUUCGAAUCCUUCCGGGGGCA